CCUACGGGUGGCAGCAGUGAGGAAUAUUGGUCAAUGGGCGCGAGCCUGAACCAGCCAAGUAGCGUGAGGGAUGACUGCUCUACGGGUUGUAAACUUUUUUAAUAAAGGAAUAAAGUGAGGCACGUGUGCCUUUUUGUAUGUACUUUAUGAAUAAGGAUCGGCUAACUCCGUGCAAGCAGCCGCGGUAAUACGGAGGAUCCGAGAGUUAUCCGGAUGUAUUGGGUUUAAAGGGAGCGUAGAUGGGUUGGUAAGUCAGUUGUGAAAGUUUGCGGCUCAACCGUAAAAUUGCAAUUGAUACUGGCAGGCUGGAGUACAGUUGAGGUAGGCGGAAUUCGUGGUGUAGCGGUGAAAUGCUUAGAUAUCACGAAGAACUCCGAUUGCGAAGGCAGCUUACUAAACUGCCACUGACAUUGAUGCUCGAAAGUGUGGGUAUCAAACAGGAUUAGAUACCCUAGUAGUC
Molecule: ribosomal RNA, 460 nt
Filed under: uncultured bacterium
Lineage: Bacteria
Description: partial 16S ribosomal RNA
Rfam family: Bacterial small subunit ribosomal RNA
Source: RNAcentral